GAUGAACGCUGGCGGCGUGCCUAAUACAUGCAAGUCGAGCGAACAGACGAGGAGCUUGCUCCUCUGACGUUAGCGGCGGACGGGUGAGUAACACGUGGAUAACCUACCUAUAAGACUGGGAUAACUUCGGGAAACCGGAGCUAAUACCGGAUAAUAUAUUGAACCGCAUGGUUCAAUAGUGAAAGACGGUUUUGCUGUCACUUAUAGAUGGAUCCGCGCCGCAUUAGCUAGUUGGUAAGGUAACGGCUUACCAAGGCAACGAUGCGUAGCCGACCUGAGAGGGUGAUCGGCCACCCUGGAACUGAGACACGGUCCAGACUCCUACGGGAGGCCGCAGUAGGGAAUCUUCCGCAAUGGGCGAAAGCGUGACGGAGCACCGCCGCGUGAGUGAUGAAGGUCUUCGGAUCGUAGAACUCUGUUAUUAGGGAAGAACAAAUGUGUAAGUAACUAUGCACGUCUUGACGGUACCUAAUCAGAAAGCCACGGCUAACUACGUG
This 497-nucleotide ribosomal RNA is filed under the name uncultured bacterium. Its description in RNAcentral is "partial 16S ribosomal RNA". It matches the Rfam family "Bacterial small subunit ribosomal RNA", at positions 28 to 507 of the family's 1533-position model. The record is from RNAcentral.